This 460-nucleotide ribosomal RNA is filed under the name uncultured bacterium. Its description in RNAcentral is "partial 16S ribosomal RNA". It matches the Rfam family "Bacterial small subunit ribosomal RNA", at positions 338 to 795 of the family's 1533-position model. The record is from RNAcentral.
CCUACGGGUGGCAGCAGUGAGGAAUAUUGGUCAAUGGGCGGGAGCCUGAACCAGCCAAGUAGCGUGCAGGAUGACUGCCCUACGGGUUGUAAACUUCUUUUAUACGGGAAUAACACGCGUCACGUGUGGAUCUUUGCAUGUACCGUAUGAAUAAGGACCGGCUAAUUCCGUGCCAGCAGCCGCGGUAAUACGGAGGGUCCGAGCGUUAUCCGGAUUUAUUGGGUUUAAAGGGAGCGUAGGUGGGUUGUCAAGUCCGCUGUGAAAUUUCGCGGCUCAACCGGGGCAUUGCAGUUGGAACUGGCAGGCUUGAGUUCACUGGAGGCAGGCGGAAUUCGUGGUGUAGCGGUGAAAUGCUUAGAUAUCACGAAGAACCCCGAUUGCGAAGGCAGCGUGCUGAAGUGGGACUGACGCUGAUGCUCGAAAGUGCGGGUAUCAAACAGGAUUAGAUACCCCUGUAGUC